Molecule: ribosomal RNA, 498 nt
Filed under: uncultured bacterium
Lineage: Bacteria
Description: partial 16S ribosomal RNA
Rfam family: Bacterial small subunit ribosomal RNA
Source: RNAcentral
GACGAACGCUGGCGGCAUGCCUAAUACAUGCAAGUUGGACGAUGAUAUUCUCUGCUUGCAGAGAAUUGAAGAGUAGCGAACGGGUGAGUAACACGUGGGGAACCUGCCCAUGAGAGGGGGAUAACAUUCGGAAACGGAUGCUAAUACCGCAUAAUGCUUUGGACCGCCUGGUCCAGAGACGAAAGACGGCUUUUGCUGUCACUCAUGGAUGGCCCCGCGCCGUAUUAGCUAGUUGGUGAGGUAAUGGCUCACCAAAGCUGUGAUACGUAGCCGACCUGAGAGGGUGAUCGGCCACACUGGGACUGAGACACGGCCCAGACUCCUACGGGAGGCAGCAGUAGGGAAUCUUCCACAAUGGGCGAAAGCCUGAUGGAGCAAUGCCGCGUGAAUGAAGAAGGUCUUCGGAUCGUAAAGUUCUGUUAUUAGAGAAGAACAAGUCAAGGAGUAACUGUCUUGACUUUGACGGUACCUAACCAGAAAGUCACGGCUAACUACGUG